RNAcentral lists this ribosomal RNA (158 nucleotides) under uncultured bacterium. RNAcentral's name for it is "partial 16S ribosomal RNA". It matches the Rfam family "Bacterial small subunit ribosomal RNA", at positions 354 to 509 of the family's 1533-position model. The record is from RNAcentral.
UGAGGGAAUAUUGGUCAAUGGCCGGAAGGCUGAACCAGCCAAGCCGCGUGAAGGACGAAGGUGCCAAGCAUUGUAAACUUCUUUUGUCAAGGGACAAAAUCAGGCUCGAGAGCCUGACCGAGGGUACUUGAAGAAAAAGCAUCGGCUAACUCCGUGCC